GAUGAAGAACGUAGUGAAAUGCGAUAAGUAAUGUGAAUUGCAGAAUUCAGUGAAUCAUCGAAUCUUUGAACGCACAUUGCGCCCCCUGGUAUUCCGGGGGGCAUGCCUGUCCGAGCGUCAUUGCUGCCCUCAAGCACGGCUUGUGUGUUGGGCCUCCGUCCUCCUCCCGGGGGACGGGCCCGAAAGGCAGCGGCGGCACCGCGUCCGGUCCUCGAGCGUAUGGGGCUUCGUCACCCGCUCUUGUAGGCCCGGCCGGCGCUUGCCGACACAUCAAUCUUUUUUCCAGGUUGACCUCGGAUCAGGUAGGGAUACCCGCUGAACUUAAGCAUAUCAAUAAGCGGAGGA
RNAcentral lists this unclassified non-coding RNA (345 nucleotides) under soil metagenome. Its description in RNAcentral is "partial contains 5.8S ribosomal RNA, internal transcribed spacer 2, and large subunit ribosomal RNA". The stretch from base 1 to 120 matches the Rfam family "5.8S ribosomal RNA", at positions 35 to 154 of the family's 154-position model. The record is from RNAcentral.